Long non-coding RNA from Daphnia magna, 930 nucleotides. RefSeq lists it as uncharacterized. The record is from RefSeq and is a predicted model, not a curated record. NCBI's taxonomy places the organism in Eukaryota, Metazoa, Arthropoda, Branchiopoda, Diplostraca, Daphniidae. The transcript has 2 exons.
CUUUUUUCUUCCCGCGUUGACUUUUUGUUAACGGACUUUUGUAUUGAUCGCGUUUACUGCAUUGCAGCAGAAAGACUCUACAGUAAGUAUUUAAUACGAUUUUAGUGUUCAAGCUGUGUUUUUAACUCAGUUUUAGCUUGAGGAUUUGUAAUUUUCAGAUAAAUACUGUAUUAUAUCAAGAUAGCAAGCCAGCAUUUCUCAGUCCAACUUUGGAAAGUCAGCAGUUGGGUCCUAACGACCUACAAACCUUAUACAAUAGCAUGACAGUUCAGUUGAGGAAAGACUCGUGUAGAACGAAAACUUUCCAGUAUGAGGCGUGGUGAUGCGUCACUGGCUUGAUGGCCGACGGGUUUUAGGGGAGGAUAUCACCCUUACCUUUUAAGGCUCGAUGUAUAAUCACCACAGCUGCAUAAUAACAACAGGAAAGGGUAGGUUCAUGUGUGGCACUAAAUUGGCUGCAGGAAACAGAUGGACAAACAGCAUAUGUUAUUUAAGUUGUAUUUUCAAGCUAACAUUGUUUGUCACAAUCAAAAUAAUUUGAUGCAGUUUUUAAAAUAGCCUGUCCCAUACUAUCGUUUGGAUCCAGAAACUGUUUCGUGAAUUCUCUCAAGGCAAUGCAAACCCGUCGUUCCUUAAUAUCACGUCGGAGCACGCAAUGUAACCAUUGAUAACGAGCAGAACCAUAAAUAACAACCAAAGAUCUUGCCGGUUGAGGAAUCCUCACACAAAUAUCAGGAAUGUCUUCUGCUUUGGGUAGCUCAACAUCAACUUCUUGCAAAUUAUAUUUAUCAUCGCCCCCAUGAUACUUCGUCAUCGUAAGAAAGCUGUCGCCGGCUAAAUUGAGGGUUACGAUACGCUCGCCCCUACAAUGAAACGUAAAGCAAUUUUUGUUUACAACGAACACAAAUAAAAAGUUAAGUUACAAAAUGA